This 149-nucleotide unclassified non-coding RNA is filed under the name soil metagenome. Its description in RNAcentral is "partial internal transcribed spacer 1". The record is from RNAcentral.
CAAGAAGAGACCCUAACCGGUCCUCUCAACCCUGCCCAUCGUACCUUUUUUGUUGUUCCCUCGGCGGUGCUCGCGGGCCCGCCGGCGGGAAGACCAAACAAACCCUUUGCAAACAAGCAUAUCGAAUCUCAGAUCAAACAUGAUUGUCA